Long non-coding RNA from Oncorhynchus kisutch (coho salmon), 683 nucleotides. RefSeq lists it as uncharacterized. The record is from RefSeq and is a predicted model, not a curated record. Lineage: Eukaryota; Metazoa; Chordata; Actinopteri; Salmoniformes; Salmonidae. The transcript is spliced from 2 exons.
CUAGGCACCUCCUACUAGAUGUCGUCCAUGACAGAAAACAACGUGAAAGCUGGUAGGAGUAGCUUUAAAAUAAAAAAAAAUCAAGUACAGUAUGAAUACUGUCGUCUAUGAAGUUUUUUUUUAAUUCAACAAGGAGGGAUCAGCCAAUGAAGUUGGAAGUCCCACCCAGUUGACUACAUUAAGAUGGUGGAAGCUCUCAAUGGUGCUUCCCAUGCUAACGCAGACUUUUGGCCACUAGAGGCCUCUAUCAUUCUCUAUGGUUCGAGCAGCUCAAGUGUGUUGCAUUAUGGAGACAAAAAUGUGGACUGCAUGAACUUUACAAAAACCAUGUGAUCAAAGGGAAUGCCGUUAAUGGGCUUGUUUAACAUUGCAGCCGACAGUGCAGGCGAAUGCCGACUGACUGAUCUACAAAGAACCUUGUUUAAUAAAUAACUACUCAUGAUACAUUACAGUUUUGAUCCUCUGUAACAGUCUUUGAUGAAGUUGUCUUCAAGUCGCUGCAGUUGCGUCAUACUAACUGCACCAUGCAGCCAUCACCUGCAUUGAGGCACUAUUUGUCAGCCAAUCAUUCGGGUGUUUUUGGUUGACUCACGCAAACUUGACCAAAGACGUUACUGAAACAGGGACUAACUUUGACACAAUUCUAAAGCUACAGGAGAUACAAAUUAAAGUGAUAUUUAAGA